CCUGGCUCAGGAUGAACGCUGGCGGCGUGCUUAACACAUGCAAGUCGAACGAAGCUGCUAAAAAGAAGUUUUCGGACGGAAUUUUGGUAGCCUUAGUGGCGGACGGGUGAGUAACGCGUGGAUAACCUGCCUUAUACAGGGGGAUAACGGAGAGAAAGUUCCGCUAAGACCGCAUAAGACCACAGCACCGCAUGGUGCAGAGGUAAAAUAUUUAUAGGUAUAAGAUGGAUCCGCGUCCGAUUAGCUAGUUGGUGAGGUAGAGGCUCACCAAGGCGACGAUCGGUAGCCGGCCUGAGAGGGUGAACGGCCACAUUGGGACUGAGACACGGCCCAAACUCCUACGG
Molecule: ribosomal RNA, 344 nt
Filed under: uncultured bacterium
Lineage: Bacteria
Description: bacterial SSU rRNA
Rfam family: Bacterial small subunit ribosomal RNA
Source: RNAcentral